CUUCCCACCGUCUAAAUCGCCAUAUAAUCUGAUGGAUGGGGUCCUCGCGCGGUUCAGCUCCUGGGCGACAGCGUAACCCGUCGCUCCUCCCUCUGCGGGAGGGCGUGGACGGGGCACGGGAUUUGGAGCAUGGAAGGAAUCGGGACCUAAAGGUUGGGAAGGGCUCGCGGACCGGAAGCGGGGGAGGUGACGUAGGAGUGCUGGCGUGGCCGGGCCAUUUCCAAAGAGGCAUUAAAGGAGCAACUGAUAGGCGUCCUAAGAGUCCCAGGACACCGGAACCAGGACUCCCCGGCGCACCCGGAGAGUUUCCGAGCUCCUUUGAAGUAUGAAUCAGAACUUCUGGAUGGGAAUCCUGGAGCCACCACUUGCCCUAUGGUCGCAAUGGGCAAGUCGCUCAACCUCCCAGAUCCUGUUUUCUCAUGAGUAAAACGGGGAUUAUAAUACCCACCUGACAAUAUUAUUUUUGUGAGAAUUAAAUGAGUUUAGAAUGUAAACACGCUUUGUAAAGUAAUUGGCAGUUGGGAUUAGUGUGCCCUUUCUCCCGGAGCCUUGCAUCCUGUGCAUUUGCUCAGGUGCUGUUCCUUCUCUGAGCAACUAAUUAAAGGUCCCUAACCCGAUGUAACCAAC
This 627-nucleotide long non-coding RNA is filed under the name Homo sapiens (human). RNAcentral describes it as "HSALNT0295713". Lineage: Eukaryota; Metazoa; Chordata; Mammalia; Primates; Hominidae. The record is from RNAcentral.